This 85-nucleotide transfer RNA is filed under the name Felis catus (domestic cat). It matches the Rfam family "tRNA". From Rfam's summary of the family: Transfer RNA (tRNA) molecules are approximately 80 nucleotides in length. Their secondary structure includes four short double-helical elements and three loops (D, anti-codon, and T loops). The record is from Rfam by way of RNAcentral. Lineage: Eukaryota; Metazoa; Chordata; Mammalia; Carnivora; Felidae.
GUCUGGGUAGCUCAGUCGGUUGAGCAUCUGACUUCAGCUCAGGUCAUGAUCUCGCGGUCUGUGAGUUCAAGCCCCACGUCAGGCU